GACGAACGCUGGCGGCGUGCUUAACACAUGCAAGUCGAACGGACAGGCCCUGCUUUUGUGGGGUGCUCGAGUGGCGAACGGGUGAGUAACACGUGAGUAACCUGCCCUUGACUUUGGGAUAACUUCAGGAAACUGGGGCUCAUACCGGAUAGGAGCUCCUGCUGCAUGGUGGGGGUUGGAAAGUUUCGGCGGUUGGGGAUGGACUCGCUGCUUCUCAGCUUGUUGGUGGGGUAGUUGCUUACCAAGGCUUUGACGGGUAGCCGGCAUGGGAGGGUGACCGGCGUCAUUGGGCCUGCGAUACGCACCAGACUCCUACGGGAGGCAGCAGGGGGGAAUAUUGCACAAUGGGCGGAAGUCUGAGGUAGCAACGCUCCGUGCGGGAUGACGGCUUUCGGGGGGUAAACCGCUGUCGCCUGUGACGAAGCGUGAGUGACGGUAAUGGGUAAAGAAGCACCGGCUAACUACGUG
RNAcentral lists this ribosomal RNA (468 nucleotides) under uncultured bacterium. RNAcentral's name for it is "partial 16S ribosomal RNA". It matches the Rfam family "Bacterial small subunit ribosomal RNA", at positions 28 to 507 of the family's 1533-position model. The record is from RNAcentral.